Molecule: ribosomal RNA, 400 nt
Filed under: uncultured bacterium
Lineage: Bacteria
Description: bacterial SSU rRNA
Rfam family: Bacterial small subunit ribosomal RNA
Source: RNAcentral
UGGGGAAUAUUGCACAAUGGGGGAAACCCUGAUGCAGCAACGCCGCGUGAGCGAUGAAGGCCUUCGGGUCGUAAAGCUCUUUUCUAAGGGAAGAAUUCUUGACGGUACCUUAGGAAUAAGCCCCGGCUAACUACGUGCCAGCAGCCGCGGUAAUACGUAGGGGGCAAGCGUUAUCCGGAAUCACUGGGCGUAAAGGGUGCGUAGGUGGUUUUGUAAGUCUGAGGUAAAAGGUCACGGCUCAACCGUGGUAAGCCUUGGAAACUGCAAAACUUGAAUGCAGGAGAGGAAAGUGGAAUUCCUAGUGUAGCGGUGAAAUGCGUAGAUAUUAGGAGGAACAUCCAUGGCGAAGGCAGCUUUCUGGACUGUUAUUGACACUGAGGCACGAAAGCGUGGGGAGCAA